UCUGUGUACCUGUUUGUGUAGCUAGGGCUGUCAGACUCUAGGGAUUGAGCUGUGAAUAGCUUCAAAAGUCAGACUGCAGAAUUAGGACUCCUUCAGAUUGGCUACUGUCACCUUCAUGGUAUCACCACCAAGUCCUGCUGAGGAUGAACUGCACUUUCAAGAAUGCCCUUCCUUGUAGAGUUUUGGGUUAGUUUGCCUGAAAGAGCAGAAGGUGGAAAUGCCACGGUCAUUCUUCUCAGAGGAUUCAGAGAGCAGACCUAGCAGGCUCCCAGACCUCUUUUCAAUACCUUCUUGGUUUCAGGGUUGGAGAAUCCCCUGUUCCAGGACACCAGCUCUCAUUCCACAAGGAAGUUACAGGUAGGAAGACCUCAAAGUUGUACAAGGCAGAACUAGCUGCCUAUAUAAGGAGGACUGACAUGUGUACCAUAAACUAAAGGAGAACAUCAUCAAUUGGAAGAACUGUACAAGGUGCCUUGCCCAAUGAGCAGUGGAUCCCAUCCCCCAGGAUUUUCAAACAGCAUCUGUAGACACCCCAAUCAGAGAUCCAGUACUAGGUGGAGCCCCUCAUUCCAGAUUGGAAAUGCACGAUAUGAUCCUCUCGUGAUCCUGGAUAAUGGUAGUGAGCCACACCUUCUAGUCAGCCUGUGAUCUUGAGAGAAAACAGCUGGCACUUUACUGUGUACUGUUGCUAAGCUAUGUUGGGUGGUGCCUAAGCCAAUAUGAAGUCAUCAUGUCGGCUUCAAUCCAAGCUGCCCAAGGUCCUAGGCAAGAGGAUUUGGCAGAGGCAGAAGUUGAAUGGUAACACAGUAGUAAUCGAGCUUUGGCUAACCCUAAAAAGAUCUCUAGAACGAGAUGGACCUUCAGAGAUGUUCCAAGUAGAGGCAGGCACCACCUCCACUUUGGUCCCCUCGCAUCAAACAGCAACUGGACUUGUCUUGGCCUGGAGAAAGGACAUAAAAUAGGCUUUCCUUCUACAGAUGGUGAUUCCAUGGGAGGGUCCCAGCUGCUACCAUCAGCACAUGGCACUCUUAGCAGCUGGGAGAAUGGGCUUCAGUUGUGAAGCAUGGACCUAUGUGGUACUUGCAGCAUCACUACGAGCACCAAAGUUUCAUUUCCACUCCUGGCAGAGUUGAGAUCAGCUUGUGUCUAUCAUUACCUCCACUGUCAACUGAGUCUUCAAAGUGAUUUCUAUAUUCAAAACUAUCGAAAAACUUACAGGAGACCUGGUUGAAUAAAAUCCACUUGUCACAGGGUUUAAAAAUGACUUUUAUCAGCUCUUUCUUUCCCACUCAUUCUAGAUUUUCUUCACCUUUGGCAAACACUUUGGCUGCUCAGUUACUUCCUCAUUUUGGUGAUUUAGAUUUUCAUCCCUGUGGACUCUGAAUAUUUAGUAACUCUUGUUAAGCCUUGAGCACUGCUAUUGUUCAUUCACCAUUUCCAGUGGAAGAACCAAAAGCCAUUCUCUAUGAGUUCCUAAGUUCUAGCCCCAUUCAUCCUGCUCUCAUUUUAUAGUAGCAACAUGGGUCUCAACGUAAUUCAUUUUUUUAACCUAUGCCUCCAUUUGCAUAGGCAGUUCAA
Heterocephalus glaber (naked mole-rat) is the source of this 1578-nucleotide long non-coding RNA. RefSeq lists it as uncharacterized. NCBI's taxonomy places the organism in Eukaryota, Metazoa, Chordata, Mammalia, Rodentia, Bathyergidae. The record is from RefSeq and is a predicted model, not a curated record.